GACAUAAAAAACAAUUAAAAUGAUCUGGGGGAGACUAAUACUGAAAGGCGAAAUUACUUGAUUGAUGUGAAGUGAUUACAGGCAAGCUAUACAGUGGCUUUGGCAACAAACAAGAAAAGCCAUCAGGGUAUUUGGAUGGAGUUUAGAUCGAGUUUUGGUACACAUUGGAGAAGCGGAUUUUCUGCAAGUUAGCACUAGGUUGCAAGAUUUAGGGGGCUAAUUUAAAAAGGUGAAGAUAAUGGGGACUGAUGUCAGAAUAUGAAAGAAUAGGAGACUAACCUCAAAAGAAAGAAAACUUUCCUGUGCUUUACACCAACCGAAAGAGAUUGAAUGAUCCUGUUAAUAUUUCAUUUUCCGGAGAGAUGACCGUUUAUUUCAAAUUGAUGAUGACUAAAUAAAUUGGCUCUAGAAGUUUUAUUGAA
This is a long non-coding RNA of Asparagus officinalis (garden asparagus), 422 nucleotides long. RefSeq lists it as uncharacterized. The record is from RefSeq and is a predicted model, not a curated record. The transcript is spliced from 2 exons. Lineage: Eukaryota; Viridiplantae; Streptophyta; Magnoliopsida; Asparagales; Asparagaceae.